ACAAAACAUAAGGCCUCAAACCAAUAGUCUACACAGAAAAGUACGUAAUGCCGUUUGUUUCAUUUAUAACGCAAAAAACAGUAGUCAUGGCAGAUGCUUUUUCAAGUUUUCCUAAGCAUGUAGCGGCAAGAAUCAGAAUUCAUGAUCAUGAUUGAUAUUGUAGCAGACACAAGCAUAACUUACCUGGGUUAUUCACAAGUGUUGUA
Molecule: unclassified non-coding RNA, 206 nt
Filed under: Hevea brasiliensis (rubber tree)
Lineage: Eukaryota; Viridiplantae; Streptophyta; Magnoliopsida; Malpighiales; Euphorbiaceae
Source: RNAcentral